RNAcentral lists this long non-coding RNA (1287 nucleotides) under Phasianus colchicus (ring-necked pheasant). RNAcentral describes it as "lncRNA (ENSPCLG00000001726.1)". The record is from RNAcentral. Lineage: Eukaryota; Metazoa; Chordata; Aves; Galliformes; Phasianidae.
CACAGAGGCUUCCUGAUCAGAUCUAAAGACAUCCUCUGCUUUUUUUCUUUCCCGUUUUUGACAGGAAAAAAAAAAAAAUGCAGCUGGAAAAGAGAAAGAAAUCUGCUUGUUUGGCAACUCAGAAUCCGCGACAUUAAUUGCUGUGAUUCUUCCCUACACCAGAAAGCAAAACCUGCUGCCGCUGGAACUGCUACUUUGAUGGCUGCAGGAAUUUGGGACUCAGCAGUACCAAAAGAGACCGCACGUGGCCAAAACCUGCUCUCACCAAGCAUCUGAUGGUAUGAGAGCUCUGGAGGAGAAUUAUCAUUACACCAGGCAUUUACCAGUGAACUAUACCACCCUGGAAUUGUUGAACUUCUACUAAAAGCUUAAAUUUCCCAAAAUAUUUAGUGAUUUCACACACCUCAUGAAACAAGAACUACUGAAAGGACUUGAUUUUCAUGAUUUGUUGAGAAUCUGCUCUCUCAGAACUGCACCUUUUUAUGGGGCAACAAGAUCAUUACUGACUUUUCAAAAGAUAAAUCAGUGAACAGCUCCUCGAAUCACAGGCCCAGGAGACAGAGCAGCUAAAAUUAUGUACUAAUGUAGGAUAAGACUUGAAUACAAUGCCUUACCCAGCCGAAGCUGCUGACAGAAUUCAGGUAGACAGCACAUAAUUACCCCAGCUGGAAUUUUGCCAACAUACCCAAGCUAACAACCUAGAACACACAUACCAUGGAUCUUUAAUUACCACAAGUGCUCGUGACCUGUGUUUUAUGUUUCUUCCAAAGACUGUGAAGUGUCCUUAAAACAGGAAAAACAUCCAGUACAAAAAAUGAAGUAAAGAAAACAAUAGGGACUUUGGUGACUCCUAGGGAAAGUGUCAGCCAGUGUCUGCAAAGAUUUCUCUAGGAAGGUAAUAUGCAUGCAGAAUCUGAUUUUUGUCCAGUGAUUUGCAUCCAGUGAGAAUCGCUUAGCAGAAAGAAAGAUCGGGCUCAGACAAACACCCCCUUUCUUUUCAUCAAUCAAUGCAAGUGUGAUGAUGCAGUCUCUUGUCUCGGUGUUGCUUGACCCAGGUAUGAAAGGGAAUUUCAAAGCUACAUCACUAUUUAAGGAAAUUCAUACUGUCUUAAAGCUUUUAGAGAACAUAUUGAUUGCUUGACCCAGAGACAAGAAACACUGGCUUUUAAAAAACUCUCCUGUUGUUACCAUCUUCAUCUGACUGUGAUUUUUCUCCUAUUUCUUGUUAAUGUUCUUGUGUACUGCAGUGCUUAAGAGAGAAGUGUUAGAUGUACUUCCUGUUGCUGA